CUAUAAUGUGUUCGAAGAAAAACAAGCCAAUUAUUAUAUUGUCCGAAUUGGGUGAAAUAUUUAAGACACAUCACAAUGAUAAGAAUCAUACAGAUAUAGGCAUAGAUUUGAUGAGGAUGCUAUGGCAAUUCUGAAUGUUGGUGGCAACAAUCUAUAUAAAUGUAUAUUGGAUAAUGAAAGAGUUGGUUCAACAAACACACCACGCAAGGAAUCUCUCUUCCGGUAGGAUACUUCUGGCAAUUAAGGUUUCCGCAAUGCGCCUCGGUAAGCUCUAAUAUGGCACCUUGAGCUAAAAUAUUUCCGCCAUUAGGAUAGAUAUCGAGACCUUGGUCAACGCAAACGUACUCAUUUCGGGAAUAUUUUUCGUCUGCCGCCAUUAGGAAACCUUUAUAAGCAAUUUGAAAGUCAGAUGGGCACGCAAUCAUUCCCGGAAACAUCAUAUUGAUGGAAAAAUUUUCCGCCAAGCAUACGCUGCA
Gordionus sp. m RMFG-2023 is the source of this 476-nucleotide long non-coding RNA. RefSeq lists it as uncharacterized. The transcript is spliced from 3 exons. The record is from RefSeq and is a predicted model, not a curated record. NCBI's taxonomy places the organism in Eukaryota, Metazoa, Nematomorpha, Gordioida, Chordodea, Parachordodidae.